This is a long non-coding RNA of Heterocephalus glaber (naked mole-rat), 2017 nucleotides long. The record is from Ensembl. NCBI's taxonomy places the organism in Eukaryota, Metazoa, Chordata, Mammalia, Rodentia, Bathyergidae.
GCACCAUUAUCCGGGGCUCGUGGACACAGCAAAGCUCGUGGACGCAGUAAAGUCCGAGAAUUGGCACCUGGGUGCUUCUGAUUCUCGAGUCUGCAUCUCCUGGAAUUCCGAUGCAGAGCUCUCUAGGUCCCCGGCACUUCAGGUGCUAAGCAUAAGCUCCUAGGCGUCGCACCUACCACCUCAAAUAUUUCUCAGAUAUUAAGAUCCUACCAUGUGGUCCUCUGAGCUUCGUCUCUGGUGUCGGCUUCUUCCAUUUACUCCAACCAGGAGCACAUUCGCUCAUUCAGCCAGACAUGGCAGCAUUUCAGGACUUGGGGGGGGGGGGUGAGACAGGGUCUUGUUAUGUAGUCCAAUCUCUCUUGAACUCACUAUGUAGUCCAGAAUGGCCUGAACUUGCGAUUCCCCUCCCUCAGCCUCCCGAGUUUCGAGAUUACAGUUGUGUGGCACCACGCCUGACUGCAGUGUGAUCUUUUAAAAUCCAGACCUGCCUUGCUGGUCAACCAGGACCGCGUGUUCCUUCACGAGCCCGGAGCCCGACAGCCUCUCCUGCAUCCUCACGCCGGGCUCUGGCCACGCCCCCCUGCCAGGGGCUCACCCGCGCCCCUCCUCGGCAGCUGCGCCUCGCCGGGCCUCUCCGGGCCUCGCCGGGCCCCGGGAGGGGAAGGGGCUCCACCUGCGCGCCACCUGCUGGGCCGCCCGACCUCCCGCAGACCCGGCCAGACCUCGGCGAAGCUCACGCCUCCGGGCUGCACAUCCGCGCCGGCCGCAAGCUCCAGGACGCGGCGGCGAGCCUGAGCCGCUGCGCAUGCGCGCAGGUGCGCGUGCACGCAACAGCCCGCACGCACCGGCACGCACGCGCCCGGCCAGUGAGACUAGGAAGGACAGGUUUGGGUUUGGGGUUUUUUGUUUGUUUGUUUGUUUGUUUGGGGGGGCCUUCGCGCUGAGCUGCAUCCUCGGCCCUUUUUAUUUGCCGACAGAAUCUGGAUGAGUCAGUAAGUUGUCCUGGCGGGGCUUCUCCUUCCUCAGGCUCCCUCGUGCUGAACUCUGGGCGCGCGCCCAGCUGAGGACGUGGCCCGAGGGAGGGAGGUCAGCGGGAGCUUCACAACGUUUGGCCCUGGUUGUGCGCCCUGCAGGGUGUGCCGUGAAGCUGUUGGUGGUUCUGAGGGCAAUCAUAAGCCUGGGGAAGCGUGUACUGUACUGUGUAAUAAUGAAGACAGCAGUUAUCCGCACUUUGAAAGCAAGUUUUGCAAAAUAGUUACGCACUUCCUUUGAGUGAUGAGUUCUAAUAAGCCACAUCCUGUAGGACAUCAGCACACCUUUGGGGGCAACACAGGACUGAGAUGUAGCCUGCACAGGGGAGGGUGUUUGCAGUCUGGAUAAGAACAUGGGUGUCACCUGUGAGGAUGGGAGACUUGUCACAAGGCACCGCCCUGCCACCGUGCUGCCUGGAACUCUGCCCUGUCCUGGACCCCUCGUCCCCGUACUGAGUGUCCCUGAGUGUCCCUAGCACACCCGGGAGAUGAAACAGCAUGAGUGGGUCACCCUCGUCUGGGCUGAGUCCAUGGUGUCCUGGGGAUGCUGGCCACUGGGGGUCCCUCGCUCCUGCACACCCUGGGCCACUGGCACCCGGAAAAGAUGCCUUCCUUCCUCCAGAGGCUGUCCUGGACACAGAAGCAGGUGAAUUGCUGGCCCACAAUGCAGCCUCAUAGAUCUGUGCCGAGCGGAUCCAAGGGACCAGGGUAGGUGCUGUUGCCUCCACUCACAGUGAGGAGAACAGAGCCCGGCUGUGAUGCUGCUCUGAAGAAGACCGUGCGGCUCGCGCUUAGUCGGGGAUGGGCAGGAAGCGGACGGCGGUCAGAGGUCCAAAGUGAGUUUCACUGGACAAACAUCAAGGUGUCAGUAGGUUGGGGCACUGCGACUCAAGCCUGGGUUCCUGGUACUCUGGAGGUGAAGGUGGACAAUCUGAUCCUGGGAGUUCAAGACCAACCUGGACAACACAGCCAGAGCCUGUCUGUAA